CUGGGCUUAAAUGUAGAGUGCAUGAGUGGGAAACCAUUCUUUCCUUCGGGACUCUUUACAAGGUGCUGCAUGGUUGUCGUCGGCUCGUGCCGUGAGGUGUCGGGUUAAGUCCCAUAACGAGCGCAACCCCUACCUUUAGUUGCCAUCAGGUAAUGCUGGGGACUCUAAAGGAACUGCCUACGCAAGUAGUGAGGAAGGUGGGGAUGACGUCAAAUCAGCACGGCCCUUACGUCCAGGGCUACACACGUGCUACAAUGGUCGGUACAGAGGGCAGCUACCACGCGAGUGGAUGCAAAUCUCCAAAGCCGAUCUCAGUUCGGAUCGAAGUCUGAAACUCGACUUCGUGAAGUUGGAUUCGCUAGUAAUCGCGCAUCAGCCAUGGCGCGGUGAAUACGUUCCC
This 400-nucleotide ribosomal RNA is filed under the name uncultured bacterium. RNAcentral describes it as "bacterial SSU rRNA". It matches the Rfam family "Bacterial small subunit ribosomal RNA", at positions 975 to 1375 of the family's 1533-position model. The record is from RNAcentral.